Long non-coding RNA from Anolis carolinensis (green anole), 3266 nucleotides. RefSeq lists it as uncharacterized. NCBI's taxonomy places the organism in Eukaryota, Metazoa, Chordata, Lepidosauria, Squamata, Anolidae. The record is from RefSeq and is a predicted model, not a curated record. The transcript has 2 exons.
CUCUUCACCUCAUUCUCUUAAGCACAUUGUGUAAUCCUCCAGAUGUUCUUGAAGUGCAAAGCCUAUGGUCUCAAUGACUAUAGUGACUGAACCUGAUGGGAGUUGUGAUCCAGCCCUGGACAAUGUAACCAAUGCAGCAGGCAGAGAUAUGAAUCAACAGCAUCUAGUGGGCCCCAGAUUCCCAUCCUUGAUCUCCAACAGGACUGAGAUUGAAGUAAAGAUGCAUUAUUUAGCCUGUGUAUAUUCUGCCUGUAUUACAGUGGAUGCCUUGGGCUGUAUCUUCCACUGAAAUGAAUGGUUAAUAAACACCCUGGUCUAAAACUUCCUUUCUAUCAAAGCUCUAAUUUAGACACUCAGGUCAAGGCCACAUUUCAUGAUUUUUCUAGCUGAAGUUUAAUUUUUUAAAAAGAGAACAAUUAGCAAAAGACUAAUAACCAACUAUGCAGCCUUGGAUUGCUGACGUUCGUAGGAGUUAAGUGACAACUGUCUGAUCAUAAUUAAAACAUUUGAGAGAGAUGUGUCAUCCACACUACUGCGACUUGCAGUUAUUUAUAGGCACAUUAUUGCGGGGGAUACUGGGAAUGCUCGGGUGCAGCUGCCAUUGUACUAACAGCUGUCAUAAACAUCCAUCCUUUAUUGUUGUCCUCUGAGUUCCUCCUCUUUGACUCAUUUGCAUCCAAAGCUCUCUGUCAUUGUUUUCGUUGAAGCCCUUGAAAGAGGGGGUGAAGGACAUACAUGCUGUUAGAACUGUCACAAAAGGCAAGAAAGAACACAUCUGCUUUCAAGACAUUUUGAACAUUCACAACAUUAAGAUACAAGCAAUACAUUUAAACAAGCAUUCACUACUCACUGACAACACAAUACACAACACGCAUGAUAAUAUGGGGAUGAUUAUUUCUUGCCUAAGAAAGCGCUAUGAAAUUCAUAGGGUAAUCAUAAAUUGAGAAGUGACUUGAAGGAAAAUGCAUGCCAGUGGCUCUAUUUAAAUGACAUACCUGUACCUGAUAACAUCAAGGCUGUUUUAUGUUUGAAGUCAUGAGGUGUUUCUAUCAUGUGCCAUUUGAACUAUUCUAAUUUGGGCACCACUUUUCUUGUUUCAUCUGGAACUUUAAAUUCAGGAGAAAAAUGUGAAGGAAAACUUUUACAAAAACUAAAGAAAAUACAGGCUCAUGACAGGGGUCCUGCUAUAGGAUGUAGGUAAGAUGAUGCAAGGGAGUGAGUUGACUAGUUCAAGGUCAUAGGAGAUAUUUUAUUUUCUAUUAUAGUCAAUACUGGAAUUGUGUUAAUAUCUUGCAAAUCUCUUUAAGUCUUGGAGAAAAUAGAUUAUCUAAAUGAAAACCACUAUCACUAUCAUCUCUCCAAACAGAACAUAAAAAAGAAAACUUGAUUUUCCAUUUACAGAUCAUGGAGCCAACUUGGUGAGGUGAGACUGGUGCCUCAGGCUGCUGACGUUCAGUGUCAUGAAAGGGCAACCAACUGUUAGUUUUUAAAAUGUGUUAUUAUUGUUGUUUUGCUGCCAGGAAGAGGGAGAAUUGCUUGCAGCAUUUUCUACCUUGCAUGCCAAAAUAAUGUUAGCUGACAUUGGUACUAUAGUUUGAUUGGUGAUGGAUGCCAUUUGCUUGUCUCCCUGAAGCAGGAAAAGAAGUAUUUAGUUGGCUCAGUAUGCACAACAGAGUAGCAUUCAAAAGUGUCUCCCACCUGUAGCCAGAUAUGACACUAUCCCUAAGCAAUUCACUUCCCCUAUUUACAGACACACAGUCUAAGUGGUAAGGCAGGUGGUUCUGAAAGCUGCAAUGAGUGGCAAAGCAUUACUGUAUAUUAUGUUUAAAUCUAGAAGCUUUAAUGAAAAAAACCCCCUCAAAACCUUGGGUCAACUUAUCCACAUCUCAGUGUAAGUAUGUACUGUAACUCUUAUGAAAAAAGGGACUAUCUCCUUAUCUGAGUAGAGUGGUGAAUGGCAAGAGCUUAAUCUAUCCCAGGAGAACCGAAAAACAGCACUGACUCACUUUACUCUCUUCACCCUGGUGCUGCUUCUGGCAGGUAGAAAAACGAUGGUGUCAGCUCUUUGUUGCUUUCACUUAAAGGAAUAGCAAGAGAGCCCAAGGGCUUGAUGAUUCUUUUAGGUUCUCUCAGGACUAAGCUCUUGUCUUUCAUCAUUCUACUCAGAGAAUGAUGGGUUUUAAAAAUAAGAGUUCAUAUUGUACCUUAACAUUCAUUUAAAAAGGUCCCCUUUUUGGAGUAGAAAGAAUGUCCUGGAUGGGAAAAUGGUAGCACUGACAGCAGGGAUCCCUGGUGCUUUUCUCUGUGUGGAAUGACCUGCAAUUUACCCAUGGGUCAUAUCAAAAUCCAUAAUUUUGGCCCCCAAACCUGCCUUUAAAUUAUACAUGAGGUCAAUUUAUACACAGGUAUAUACUAUAUUUCAAUGCCAGAUGGUUGAAAAUAGUAGUAACUGUGUUACAGGAGUUAUGAUGGGUCUAUCCACUGCACUCUACUGUGGUCUAGCAGUUCUGCAAGAUCAUGUGCAGAAUUUCCACCCAGUUCUCCAGUUGCCUGUGAUCUUUUUAUAUAGAGAUGCCAGGGAAUGACGCUGGAACUGUCAGCCUCCAAAGCCUGCUUUCUGCUGAGCUGCACAUUAGCUUGAACACACUCGGUAAAAAUCAGCAUGGAAGUUUCCAACUGUGGGUUAAGGUCAAAGGUUACUGCCCUUAAAGUUAGCAGAGAAACCAGGGAAAUGCUUCACAUUCUUUUGUGUCUUACUCUCUUGUCUCUUUUUAGGUAGCCAAAACUGGUUUGGUCCAAAGUAAUUCAACUCAGCGGGCUGAGUCUCAGGUGACCAAGACAGCUGUCAUUAUGAUCCUAGCCUUUCUUCUUAGCUGGAUGCCUUAUGCAGCUUUUGCUCUGACCAAAGUAGUGAAACCAGAUGUGACCAUGGAUCCCAACAUUCGGAGUAUUCCUCUGUUCAUGGCUAAAACAGGAAUCAUAUACAACCCAGUGGUUUAUGUCUGUCUGAACAAGCAGUAUCGAGAACAAGUUGCAGCCUCCUUACAAUGCCUAUGGAAAUGCAGAGUCGUGCCCAGUAAGCACCAUGUGCUGAAUGCUUUGCCUCCUGCGCUGAAGAGACUGCAAGGGAAGCAGGUCAGCUGCAAUACCAACAGGAUAGCUCCUCAGAAUGAGUUGAACAUCAGCAGGAAUCUCCUCUUGCCAAACAUGAGCUAUUCCGAUGAUGAAUCCUCCUCUCAAUAAAUGCCACAGCUUUUAACUUUUCA